Molecule: ribosomal RNA, 407 nt
Filed under: uncultured prokaryote
Description: bacterial SSU rRNA
Rfam family: Bacterial small subunit ribosomal RNA
Source: RNAcentral
UGGGGAAUAUUGCACAAUGGGCGAAAGCCUGAUGCAGCAACGCCGCGUGCGGGAUGACGGCCUUCGGGUUGUAAACCGCUUUCAGCAGGGACGAAGGGAAAAUGACGGUACCUGCAGAAGAAGCACCGGCUAACUACGUGCCAGCAGCCGCGGUGAUACGUAGGGUGCGAGCGUUGUCCGGAAUUAUUGGGCGUAAAGAGCUUGUAGGCGGUCUGUUGCGUCGGAAGUGAAAACUCAGGGCUUAACCCUGAGCCUGCUUUCGAUACGGGCAGACUUGAGGGAUGUAGGGGAGAGCGGAAUUCCUGGUGGAGCGGUGGAGUGCGCAGAGAUCAGGAGGAACACCAGUGGCGAAGGCGGUUCUCUGGACAUUUCCUGACGCUGAGAAGCGAAAGCGUGGGGAGCAAACA